CUCGGCUGGCGGUGGCGUCUCGAAAGUUGUGCUGAAAACCCAGAGGCCGUGACAUGAUUAAUCGUUUUCUUCUGAUCUAAUUUUGGAACAUGAAAAACAGCACAUUUGUCUUGAAGAAAAAUGAUGUGCCGAACUGCGCAGAUGGAAAUUUCGAGCAAUGAGAAAGAUUAAAGUGAAACCCCACUCCUUA
Canis lupus familiaris (dog) is the source of this 190-nucleotide long non-coding RNA. RefSeq lists it as uncharacterized. Lineage: Eukaryota; Metazoa; Chordata; Mammalia; Carnivora; Canidae. The record is from RefSeq and is a predicted model, not a curated record. The transcript is spliced from 2 exons.